RNAcentral lists this ribosomal RNA (499 nucleotides) under uncultured bacterium. RNAcentral describes it as "partial 16S ribosomal RNA". It matches the Rfam family "Bacterial small subunit ribosomal RNA", at positions 29 to 507 of the family's 1533-position model. The record is from RNAcentral.
ACGAACGCUGGCGGCAUGCCUAAUACAUGCAAGUCGAGCGAACAUUUCUAGAAGCUUGCUUCUAUAAAUGUUAGCGGCGGAUGGGUGAGUAACACGUGGGCAACCUGCCCUGCAGAUGGGGAUAACUCCGGGAAACCGGGGCUAAUACCGGAUAAUCAGUUUGUCCGCAUGGACAAACUCUAAAAGACGGCUUCGGCUGUCACUGCAGGAUGGGCCCGCGGCGCAUUAGCUAGUUGGUGGGAUAACGGCCUACCAAGGCAACGAUGCGUAGCCGACCUGAGAGGGUGAUCGGCCACACUGGGACUGAGACACGGCCCAGACUCCUACGGGAGGCAGCAGUAGGGAAUCUUCCACAAUGGACGGAAGUCUGAUGGAGCAAUGCCGCGUGAGCGAAGAAGGUUUUCGGAUCGUAAAGCUCUGUUGUGAGGGAAGAACAAGUACGGGAGUAACUGCCCGUACCUUGACGGUACCUCAUUAGAAAGCCACGGCUAACUACGUG